RNAcentral lists this ribosomal RNA (497 nucleotides) under uncultured bacterium. Its description in RNAcentral is "partial 16S ribosomal RNA". It matches the Rfam family "Bacterial small subunit ribosomal RNA", at positions 28 to 507 of the family's 1533-position model. The record is from RNAcentral.
GAUGAACGCUGGCGGCGUGCCUAAUACAUGCAAGUCGAGCGAACAGAUGAGGAGCUUGCUCCUCUGACGUUAGCGGCGGACGUGUGAGUAACACGUGGAUAACCUACCUAUAAGACUGGGAUAACUUCGGGAAACCGGAGCUAAUACCGGAUAAUAUAUUGAACCGCAUGGUUCAAUAGUGAAAGACGGUUUUGCUGUCACUUAUAGAUGGAUCCGCGCCGCAUUAGCUAGUUGGUAAGGUAACGGCUUACCAAGGCAACGAUGAGUAGCCGACCUGAGAGGGUGAUCGGCCACACUGGAACUGAGACACGGUCCAGACGCCUAAGGGAGGCAGCAGUAGGGAAUCUUCCGCAAUGGGCGAAAGCCUGACGGAGCAACGCCGCGUGAGUGAUGAAGGUCUUCGGAUCGUAAAACUCUGUUAUUAGGGAAGAACAAAUGUGUAAGUAACUAUGCACGUCUUGACGGUACCUAAUCAGAAAGCCACGGCUAACUACGUG